UGUUGCUCAUCUGCCUCCUAUGAUCCACGGGCACCUUCCCAGGAGCUGGUCUUUGGUGUUCUGAUCUGGAACUUGGCUGGCCAUUCCGAUUAGCUGAUUGGCCAUUCAUUGUUGAACCUGGUGGUCUCAUGGUUGGUUGACGGUUUGUCGAGGAACCAGGUCUCUGGCUUCCAGAGGAUACAGCUCUUUGCUGCAUUUGGUUACCAGAGGAAACUGGUCUUGAAUUUUGCAUUUGGCUACCAGAGGAAGCCGGUCUUGAUUUCUGCAUUUGGCUGCUGCCUGA
Molecule: long non-coding RNA, 283 nt
Filed under: Brassica rapa (field mustard)
Lineage: Eukaryota; Viridiplantae; Streptophyta; Magnoliopsida; Brassicales; Brassicaceae
Description: long non-coding RNA (BRAP_LNC007360)
Source: RNAcentral